AAAAGACUCCUGAAGAAAAAGAAAAAGAAAUCUGAAUUAACUGGUUUAACCCACCAAAUCAGGUUAACUAGUCAAACCUGAGAUUCGUGUCAUGUGAGUCUGAUAACUAAAUAGAAAUAAAUUAAUAUUAAUGAAAUAAAUUAAACAAAAAAAAUAAUUAAAAA
Molecule: long non-coding RNA, 164 nt
Organism: Populus euphratica (Euphrates poplar)
Lineage: Eukaryota; Viridiplantae; Streptophyta; Magnoliopsida; Malpighiales; Salicaceae
Exons: 2
Source: RefSeq, a predicted model, not a curated record